UUUUCCAUCUAAGCUCUUUUCUUUAUCUGGUGGUGAUGGGCACUAUCAGGACAGGACUGUAUUCCUAACAGCCCAAUGCCAUCUUAUUUCAACGUGACUGGU
This is a long non-coding RNA of Gopherus evgoodei (Goodes thornscrub tortoise), 102 nucleotides long. RefSeq lists it as uncharacterized. NCBI's taxonomy places the organism in Eukaryota, Metazoa, Chordata, Testudines, Testudinidae. The record is from RefSeq and is a predicted model, not a curated record. The transcript has 3 exons.